UGCAGACGGACCAUAAAAGCGCCGAAAUCGCAUGAAAUAAUGCGAUUUCGGGUAAUCGAGAGGGCUUCUAUGUAUUUUGGUUGUUGCGGGUGCUGUUGGCAGCAUGGGUGAGUAGUGGGUAACCUUUGGACUGAUUGUCCAAGGCCCCAAGCCCUUACGAAGACCGUAAAGUGAUUUCCGAUGCGUUUCUCGGCGAAAUCCGCCGACGGAACGCGGGUUUCGGUUCGGAAUUCUUCCGACGGUACUUGGUGAUUAUUUGCGUCGUCGCUGAGCCUUGUUGGCUGGUCACCCGCGUCGUUUCGAGGGUUCGAAAACGACGGGUGAGCGACGGUGGAGUUCCGGUGCGGUUUUCGGGACUUCCGGCUUGUUCGGUAAUCGGUUUUGGGAAACCGAUUCUCGUGGUUCUGGUGAGUGGGGAUU
Molecule: long non-coding RNA, 420 nt
Filed under: Ananas comosus (pineapple)
Lineage: Eukaryota; Viridiplantae; Streptophyta; Magnoliopsida; Poales; Bromeliaceae
Description: long non-coding RNA (ACOM_LNC000589)
Source: RNAcentral